RNAcentral lists this ribosomal RNA (593 nucleotides) under uncultured bacterium. RNAcentral's name for it is "bacterial SSU rRNA". It matches the Rfam family "Bacterial small subunit ribosomal RNA", at positions 338 to 948 of the family's 1533-position model. The record is from RNAcentral.
CCUACGGGAGGCAGCAGUGGGGAAUCUUGCGCAAUGGGCGAAAGCCUGACGCAGCAACGCCGCGUGCGGGAAGAAGGCCUUCGGGUUGUAAACCGCUUUCAGCAGGAACGAAAAUGACGGUACCUGCAGAAGAAGGUGCGGCCAACUAUGUGCCAGCAGCCGCGGUGAUACAUAGGCACCAAGCGUUGUCCGGAUUUAUUGGGCGUAAAGAGCUCGUAGGCGGUUCAGUCAGUCGGGUGUGAAAACUCUGGGCUUAACCCAGAGCCUGCACCCGAUACUGCUGUGACUAGAGUUCGGUAGGGGAGCGGGGAAUUCCUGGUGUAGCGGUGAAAUGCGCAGAUAUCAGGAGGAACACCGAUGGCGAAGGCACCGCUCUGGGCCGAAACUGACGCUGAGGAGCGAAAGCAUGGGUAGCAAACAGGAUUAGAUACCCUGGUAGUCCAUGCCGUAAACGUUGGGCACUAGGUGUGGGUUCCAAUCAACGGAAUCCGCGCCGUCGCUAACGCAUUAAGUGCCCCGCCUGGGGAGUACGGUCGCAAGACUAAAACUCAAAUGAAUUGACAGCGNGAGAGNGCGAGACGACACGAGGAGAG